GGUGAGGGUGAUCUGGCUGCAACAUCUGUCACCUCCAUUGGUCACCAGGCUGAUCAGGCUGGCUAGGCGGGUGUCCCCUUCCUCCCUUAACACCAUGUGUGUCCCUCCCGAAGCUGCACGCUCAGUCAAAGAGGAUGGCCUUGCCCAUAUAGAGACGGACCAGUCUUACGUUGAGGGUAUAUGAGUAGCUGCGCUCUCCUGCUAGAAUCUCCAAACAAGCCAAGUUUAUUUAAAGUCAGUCUAAAUUUUUGAUUGCCAUAGGUGUAGAUUUCAAUUCUGUUGGGUUGUCAGAAAAGUCACGAUGCAUUUUGCAUAGAAAAAUGUGAUGAUUU
Molecule: small nuclear RNA, 332 nt
Filed under: Erinaceus europaeus (western European hedgehog)
Lineage: Eukaryota; Metazoa; Chordata; Mammalia; Eulipotyphla; Erinaceidae
Description: 7SK RNA (ENSEEUG00000021293.1)
Rfam family: 7SK RNA (bases 1-296)
About the family: 7SK was discovered as an abundant small nuclear RNA in the mid-70s but a possible function has only recently been suggested. Two independent studies have found that 7SK RNA binds the CDK9/cyclin T complex (known as elongation factor P-TEFb). P-TEFb activates transcription by phosphorylating the C-terminal domain of RNA polymerase II.
Source: RNAcentral